AGAGUUUGAUCAUGGCUCAGGACGAACGCUGGCGGCGUGCCUAAUACAUGCAAGUAGAACGCUGAAGACUGGUGCUUGCACUAGUCAGAUGAGUUGCGAACGGGUGAGUAACGCGUAGGUAACCUACCUCAUAGCGGGGGAUAACUAUUGGAGACGAUAGCUAAUACCGCAUGACAAUUAAGUACUCAUGUACUAAAUUUAAAAGGAGCAAUUGCUUCACUAUGAGAUGGACCUGCGUUGUAUUAGCUAGUUGGUGAGGUAACGGCUCACCAAGGCCACGAUACAUAGCCGACCUGAGAGGGUGAUCGGCCACACUGGGACUGAGACACGGCCCAGACUCCUACGGGAGGCAGCAGUAGGGAAUCUUCGGCAAUGGGGGCAACCCUGACCGAGCAACGCCGCGUGGGUGAAGAAGGUUUUCGGAUCGUAAAGCUCUGUUGUUAGAGAAGAACGGUAAUGGGAGUGGAAAAUCCAUUACGUGACGGUAACUAACCAGAAAGGGACGGCUAACUACGUGCCAGCAGCCGCGGUAAUACGUAGGUCUCGAGCGUUGUCCGGAUUUAUUGGGCGUAAAGCGAGCGCAGGCGGUUAUUUAAGUCUGAAGUUAAAGGCCGUGGCUCAACCAUGGUUCGCUUUGGAAACUGGAUAACUUGAGUGCAGAAGGGGAGAGUGGAAUUCCAUGUGUAGCGGUGAAAUGCGUAGAUAUAUGGAGGAACACCGGUGGCGAAAGCGGCUCUCUGGUCUGUAACUGACGCUGAGGCUCGAAAGCGUGGGGAGCAAACAGGAUUAGAUACCCUGGUAGUCCACGCCGUAAACGAUGAGUGCUAGGUGUUAGGCCCUUUCCGGGGCUUAGUGCCGCAGCU
RNAcentral lists this ribosomal RNA (863 nucleotides) under uncultured bacterium. RNAcentral describes it as "bacterial SSU rRNA". It matches the Rfam family "Bacterial small subunit ribosomal RNA", at positions 8 to 853 of the family's 1533-position model. The record is from RNAcentral.